This 2273-nucleotide long non-coding RNA is filed under the name Malus domestica (apple). RNAcentral describes it as "long non-coding RNA (MDOM_LNC007399)". The record is from RNAcentral. Lineage: Eukaryota; Viridiplantae; Streptophyta; Magnoliopsida; Rosales; Rosaceae.
GGUCACCUAUACCCUCACACUUUCCUUCUCUCUAUCCCGUGGCUCUCUCUCUCCUCCAUCCCGACUCUCUCUCUACACACACCCAUACGUACGGACACACCCAAAAAUCUUCCAAACUCGACGGAUCGAGGCAACCAAGGUAUGCAUCUUCAUCCUUGAGUCAUUUUAAGUCGAUUGGUACUAGUUUUAGGAAGUGAAACCCUCGGAAUCACGUGAAACCCGAACCUAUAUUUUUCGUCACUGUUCAUGCACUCGUAAUAUGUUGUGUUUCAGGGAAUUCUAAGCUUAUAGUGAGCUUAGUGAGGUCCCAAGGAAGCUCGGAGUGCUUCGUUGGAAGGAUUUGGACGUCGGGAUCACGAGGGUUAAGUUUGGCCGAUUUUGUUUGGAUUUUUCCGGUGAGAUUUCUUGAUUUUUAGAGCCUUAAACUAGUCUAUUGUGAUUCUACAUGUUGAGGGCUUUAAAUUGAUAUAUUAUACGAAGAAAAUGGUUGAGAAACGAAGGAGAACGAAGCAUUUGAAAAUUCCCCAGUUUUCCGGCCGCCGGAAAAAACCAGUCCGGCGAACCAAGGUUGGGGAUGAUGCGCGUGGGGGCGCGUGUCCCCGUGCUUGUCCUGGCGCGUGGGGGCGCGUGGCACAUCAAAAAAAUAAUCUAAAAAUAUGUCGACGUUCGUGACGUCGAGUAGAUCACUGUGGUAUAUUCAUAUACCCAAAUUGAGUACCGUAUGAGAAAGUUAUUACGAUUAUUGGUUAGGUGCUUUAAAUAACGUUUUAUAGUUUUCGCCUUUAGGUGAAAAUAUGAAUUGACGAUCCGACCGUUGGAUCGUCACCAAACUUUGAUACGUUGAAAUACGUAAUAUUUGAGGAUUAUUGGAACUUACGGAUUGGGAAUCCGAGUUACGGAUCUUCCGGAAUUGGAGUUGUAAGUUCAUAAAAUAAAAUGUUAACCGUCACUUAGUUUUGGAAAUUGACGGAGAUCCGACCGUUGGAUGGUAAUGAAAUUUCAGGAUGUUGUCCUAGAGAUAUAUUGUGGACCUCUGGAAGUUAUGGAUUUAAAAUCUGAGUUGCAGAUCUUUCGGAUCAAUCUAUGUAGUGACGUAUUUUAUAUAAGUUAUAUUCUAUCGAUAUGAUUUCUGAGGUUGGAUUUGAUUAUUGUUCUAGGCGGCGAUCGUCAUGACGCCUUGAUGAGUUGUGCUAGGGAGUUGUAGGGCGAACUCCAGGUGAGUGGGCAGUUUUGUUUUCGUAAUACCUAUAUACUAUUGAGUUUUCCCAGAAAUUGAAUUUAAAUGAAAGCAUGAUUUAAAAUGCCAUGGAUAGAUUUAUAUGAAAAGUAUGAUUUGAAAUGCCAUGCAUAGAAGUAUAUGAAAAGCAUGAAUUGAUAUAUGAUGCAUAUAUAUAUUUGAAUUGGUGCUGUGGACGCACAGGUAAGUAUCAGGUGAGUUUUAUAUUAUUCAUGUGCAUUGUUGAUGUGUAUAUUGUGGAUAGCUCAUAACCUGCAAUCAUGGUGUUAGUGCUUAUAUUAUUCACCACACCGCACGCUCGUCUUGGAUCCAAGUAGGUGGAUGUCGUACAGACCAAGUGAGGGUUCCGACAUGCUAGUCGUAUAGAUUACUAGAUGUGAUUCCGACUACUGGGUGACCUUAGAUUAUGUGCACAGAUGAUUGAUUAGAGAAGCACUAGAGCGUAUUAUUACACCAUCCAUGUCGUACAGACUACUUCAGGUAGUUCCGACUUAUCUGCAGUGUAGUGCCGUACAGGUCAUCGAGGUGACUCCGGUUGGAUUGGAUGUUGAGCUAUGGAAUUAACCGUACAGGACCAACUGCAGGGUCUCCGGUUAAUUCAACUUUUCACCUGUUACAUUGAUGCUUCAUUUAUUUUGUUUUCGAAAUUAAAACAUGGCAUACUUUCGGGUUUUAAAGAAAAAUUGAUGAUUCGAGAUUUAUGAAAAGUAUUAUGUUAUUAUACUAUUUUCUGGGAAAAGUAUACAGGUUUUACAGUGAGGGGUUAGAAUUAUUUUUGGCGAAAUGUUUUUGAAAAGCUUGGUUUUACUGACCCACUCAAUUUUGUUUUUCGCCCCUCCAGGUUCUUGAUAGCAGAGUUUUGGUGGCCACGAGGAAUCCAACGGUAUUCUGACAGAAAUCACAAAAGUAGGACUCACCCUCGAGGGUUUCCAUUUUAAUAAUUGUAUUUUAAAAGCUUCCGAACUGUGUAAAUGGUUACGUCACUCUCAUGUGACGGCCAGCAUGCCCUCCUUCGGGACGGGGUGUGUCAUAGAAG